CCCAAUCUACUAAAUCCCUAAUUUUGCUUCUCCUUCCCCAAGCUCCGCCGCCGGACACAUGAUCCAACAUCGACCUCAUCCUCUUCCUCCGAGCUCCACUACUUCUCGUCAAUAUCUUCCUUAUCCUUUGUCAGCAUCAUCCGCCUUCUCUCCUGAACUCUUCUGCAUGUGUUCUCCUCCUCCUCUGUUAGCUUCCUCCUCAUCAUCAUCAUCCUGGCCCCUACUCUAUCUCUCUUCUCCCCUCUCCCUACUAGCUAGUUUCCUUCCAGAUUGUGAGCUACCAUCAUCCCGCCGACAAUGUCGGCCAUGAAAUCAUGAAUUCUGUGAAUCAGGUAUCUCUCCCUCUUUUGUUACCCACUAAUUUUCCUUUGUUGGCAGUCUAAUUGAUCCAACUUAGAAAUUGGAUUACCGGACUGAAUUGAAUGUUAGUUUUGCUCUCAGUUUUUUCUCCUAAUGUGAUAAUUGCGUUCUUUGGAGAUUUUAUAAGCUUAUAAUUUCAUAUCUACUCCGCUGCUAAUCCCAACCUUAGAGCAUGUGUUUCUUGAAUAUCUCUAGAGGAUUCCAAAUGUGUUACUUGUGUUUGGCUGAGUGUAGACAUGGAUUUUAGAUGGUGAAGAAGAUUUUUUUUUUUGAGGGGUCAAGAUUAAUUAGAAACCGGAGUCUAAGAUCAGAAAUAAAUGCCAUGGUAUAGAAAGUCGAAGAAUUCAUAUUGUGAUUUAUUGAACAAAAAAAUGGAUAAAUUGAGAUGAUAUGACCUUGAAUGAUGAAAAAGUAAAGGUGCUUCCAACUAUUUCACAAUCCUGCAGUUGGGUUACCAUUAUUACAAUGGAAGUUUGAUCUGCUACUUGUCUGUAAUUUAGUUAUUGAUAUAUGGAAUUAGGCCAAAAAUAUCAUACUCUGGCAUUAGACAUUUGAGAUGUCCUAAUUGGUAAUAAACUACUUAAAGUAGUGUCUCCAGUUGUUGGUGAGUAUUGAAGCUAUGUUUCAAUAAUAUAUGACCAUAAUAAUGUGUAUUGUUUUUUUUUUUGAUGAGCAGGGAGGUUAUACCACCCUAAUUUUAUUAGUGGAAUAGAAUAUUUACAGAUGCAGGAUGAAUCAAGCUGAGGAGGCUGGAUUCAUGUCCAAACAAAAUAAAGUAUAGAGCUGAAAACAGGUUUGCAGAGUUCAAUUAUAGGUUUUCAGGUUACGUUUUCAAGUGCCCAGGUAAUAGGUUUCCAGGUGACAGGUUUUCAGAGACAGGUUUCAAGUACCACUGCAGAUUUGUAUUUUGAACACAAGCAUAAUGCUUUCGGAUUAUUGAAUUAUCCCCAGAGAUGUGAUGCUGUAGAACGUGGUCUCAUCAGCUCGUGGGUGAACCAUGGGUCCCAGCACAAAAUAUCUCAUCCCUUCCUGGCACUUGAAAACCCUUUACCAAAAAAGCCCGUUGCUGAAUAUUUACAGGUCUGAAACUACCCUGUACAACGCACAUACUGGAUAUUUUCAGAUGCUGCCGAAGCUCCUAUGCUACGGCCUGUUGCUGAAUAUUUAUAGGGGUAUAACGACCUGCACAGCGUUCAUACCGAACUUGUACAUAAGCUGCCGAAGCUCCUAUGCUCUUCCUCCAGCCUUUUAACGCUAGCACUGUGUUGAGUCUUCUACAGAGAUUGCAGUUCCUCCUUCAUUUGCCGUAUCCUUACUUCAUCCUCUGUUGGCGUUUAAGUUCCCGAUGGAUUUGUGCCCGCAUCAUUGAAUAGUAUGCUGUGGAUUUUAACUGAAUUUUCUUUAGUUUUCCCAUUGCAGAUUUCCAUCCAGUUUUGAUACAGGCUUCUUAUGUUUUGAAAUAGAGAUGAGGGUGCAGUGGCCACCUGCCUAAAGAUCCUAUUUUUCCGUUCAAGCCACAUGCAGCAACAGCAGGUUGAGAACAAAGAGUCCCAUGCCAUUCUUUCCCAUUUAUCUGUGACUCUAUUCCUCCACUCGUUCCAAUAAUUUUCAACAGAUAUCGGCAUUGUGGUUGACCUGACCCUACACAAGAUCUGUUGCCACACCAUCAUUGUAAACUUGCACGUUUGGAAGAUGUGGUCCGCUGUUUCAUCCUCUUCACCACACAACAGUUUAUAACUCCAAAUGCUGAGCGAAUCCCACCAUUGCUCAGGAACUUGUAAUAGUGUUGCACCGAGAAUGUGUUUUUGCUACUCCAUUUCCAUAAAACUGAGUCCUCCUCCAAGGAUAGAGAUAUUGAGUCCAUGCUGUUUUGCAAUUCAGAAAUUUUUGUAUAAAGUCUUGAGUUGGGAGAAAGAUUGCUAAUUGCAACAGUUUCUGCCUCUUGAAGAUAACUUACUAUUGAGAGUGUUGAAUGCUUGGAGAAGAGGAAUGCCAGAGGGAACCUUACUCUAAGAGGUUGGUCUCUAACCCAUAUAUCAUGCCAAAACGCCACCUGAUCACCCUUGCCAACGUUAAAAUGGAUGCUUAGGAAAAACCAGUCUCGUGUCUUCAUGACACUUCUCCAAUAGGGUGAAGCAAACUUUAGAGACUUGAUGCUUAGUUGACUAGGAGGUGUAUCAGCAAAGUGAAGUUUGUGUAUUAGCUUUCUCCAAGGUCUGUUCGGUUCUCGAAAGUAUCUCCACCACCACUUUGAUAGCAAGCAUUUGUUGAAGAGCUGUGAGUUAAUGAUACCAAGACCACCCAAAUGCUUAGGUCUACAUGUAUGCUCCCAGCUUACGAGACAGUGCCCGCCGCAACAUUGAUGGUUUCCUUUCCAAAGGAAGUUCCGCCUGAUGCGAUCAAUUUUUCCGAUCACAGCUGUUGGCAAUUGCAUUACGGACAUCCAAUACACCGGGAUUGAGCUCAAUACAGCAUUUAUCAACGUUAAUCUACCGGCCAUAGUUAAAAAGUUUUCCUUUCCAUGAUGUAAGUUUCCUCUCAAUUUUCUCUUCAAGAAAACGCCAGUCUGAUGCUCGUGGUUUUUUGAAGUGCAGAGGUAUUCCAAGAUAUUUGAAUGACAGGUUUGUUUUUU
Non-coding RNA from Elaeis guineensis (African oil palm), 2992 nucleotides. The record is from RefSeq and is a predicted model, not a curated record. NCBI's taxonomy places the organism in Eukaryota, Viridiplantae, Streptophyta, Magnoliopsida, Arecales, Arecaceae.